UAGGGGGCAAGCGUUAUCCGGAUUUACUGGGUGUAAAGGGAGCGUAGACGGCGUGCCAAGUCUGGAGUGAAAGCCCGGGGCUUAACCCCGGGACUGCUUUGGAAACUGGCGUGCUAGAGUGCUGGAGAGGUAAGUGGAAUUCCUAGUGUAGCGGUGAAAUGCGUAGAUAUUAGGAGGAACACCAGUGGCGAAGGCGGCUUACUGGACAGUAACUGACGUUGAGGCUCGAAAGCGUGGGGAGCAAA
This 245-nucleotide ribosomal RNA is filed under the name uncultured bacterium. RNAcentral's name for it is "partial 16S ribosomal RNA". It matches the Rfam family "Bacterial small subunit ribosomal RNA", at positions 528 to 772 of the family's 1533-position model. The record is from RNAcentral.